RNAcentral lists this ribosomal RNA (16 nucleotides) under Trebouxia arboricola. RNAcentral's name for it is "partial 28S ribosomal RNA". The record is from RNAcentral. Lineage: Eukaryota; Viridiplantae; Chlorophyta; Trebouxiophyceae; Trebouxiales; Trebouxiaceae.
CUUUCGACCUGAGGUC